GCCUGGGUUACAUAUCAGGGACAGAGACAUCUCUGUGGAGAAUUCAUUACAAUGUAUCUGUUUGUUUUCAGUUAUGUUUGUGGAGGAACUCAAAAUGUUUAUGUGGCUGUUAAAAGAAACAAACACUGAAACUGAAGAGAGUCACACACGCAGCUGUGGCAGAGCAGCGGGGCUGGUGUGCCCAGCUGUGGGGCGGCUCUGCCGUGAGGGGACGGGCGGCAGCGCCUGCGAGGAGCCCGUGACCUUCAGGUGACCCCGGCCGUGCCCUCCAGGUGACCCCGGCCCGGCCGCCUCAGAGAGAAAGGGCGGGAACCAUGAGGCGGGAAGCAAAAACGGCAACGGCGGGAAAAAGAAAGCGGCGUUCUGGGCUCCCAUUGGCUGGCGGGCGUGAGGAGAUAGCUAUAUAAGGCAAUCGGACACCACAGGUGUUAGAAUCAGCGUGUGAGGAGAUUUCGCGUGCUUCGAGGGGAAGGCGGCAAUCAGCAUCCAAGGACUGAGGGGCGGCGGGACAGCUCCUUUUGCCCAGUCUGCCCGCCUCUGUGACCCUCCGCAGCACCGGCUGGAGCUCCGCAGUGCAUCAGCAUGGAGCCACUGCAGAAGAAAGAAGCAGCAAGCGUGUGGAACCUGGAGGCAACAGCGAGCAAGAGGAGGAAACAGAAGCCUGAGGAUGGGGGGGAAAGAGAGAGGCUCUCUGGGCAAAAUCACCUCCCUGUUAGCAGGGGCAUAGUCACAUUUCAGUCGAGUGUUGCUGGCACCUUGGGUGACCAGACAGGUUUUGUGCUGGGCGACCUCCCUGUAAGCAGGGCUGU
This is a non-coding RNA of Coturnix japonica (Japanese quail), 809 nucleotides long. The record is from RefSeq and is a predicted model, not a curated record. Lineage: Eukaryota; Metazoa; Chordata; Aves; Galliformes; Phasianidae.